This 253-nucleotide ribosomal RNA is filed under the name uncultured bacterium. Its description in RNAcentral is "partial 16S ribosomal RNA". It matches the Rfam family "Bacterial small subunit ribosomal RNA", at positions 524 to 776 of the family's 1533-position model. The record is from RNAcentral.
UACGUAGGGUGCGAGCGUUAAUCGGAAUUACUGGGCGUAAAGCGUGCGCAGGCGGUUAUGCAAGGCAGAUGUGGAAUCCCCGGGCUCAACCUGGGAACUGCAUUUGUGACUGUAUGACUAGAGUACGGUAGAGGGGGAUGGAAUUCCGCGUGUAGCAGUGAAAUGCGUAGAUAUGCGGAGGAACACCGAUGGCGAAGGCAAUCCCCUGGACCUGUACUGACGCUCAUGCACGAAAGCGUGGGGAGCAAACAGG